GAUGAACGCUGGCGGCGUGCCUAAUACAUGCAAGUCGAGCGAACGGACGAGAAGCUUGCUUCUCUGAUGUUAGCGGCGGACGGGUGAGUAACACGUGGAUAACCUACCUAUAAGACUGGGAUAACUUCGGGAAACCGGAGCUAAUACCGGAUAAUAUUUUGAACCGCAUGGUUCAAAAGUGAAAGACGGUCUUGCUGUCACUUAUAGAUGGAUCCGCGCUGCAUUAGCUAGUUGGUAAGGUAACGGCUUACCAAGGCAACGAUGCAUAGCCGACCUGAGAGGGUGACGGGCCACACUGGAGCGGAGACGCGGCCCGGCCCCCGCGGGGGGGCACAAGAGGGAAUUCUCCAGCAAGGGCGAAAGCCCGGCGGGGCAACCCCGGGGGGGUUAAGAAGGUUUUUGGAAUCUAAAACCUUUGUUAUGGGGAAAAACAAUUUGUGUAAGUACUUGUACACUCCUGGCCGUACCAUAACAAAAAGCCCCCGCCAACCUCCGGC
Molecule: ribosomal RNA, 497 nt
Filed under: uncultured bacterium
Lineage: Bacteria
Description: partial 16S ribosomal RNA
Rfam family: Bacterial small subunit ribosomal RNA
Source: RNAcentral